This 336-nucleotide ribosomal RNA is filed under the name Escherichia coli. Its description in RNAcentral is "bacterial SSU rRNA". It matches the Rfam family "Bacterial small subunit ribosomal RNA", at positions 1049 to 1385 of the family's 1533-position model. The record is from RNAcentral. Lineage: Bacteria; Pseudomonadati; Pseudomonadota; Gammaproteobacteria; Enterobacterales; Enterobacteriaceae.
CUGUCGUCAGCUCGUGUUGUGAAAUGUUGGGUUAAGUCCCGCAACGAGCGCAACCCUUAUCCUUUGUUGCCAGCGGUCCGGCCGGGAACUCAAAGGAGACUGCCAGUGAUAAACUGGAGGAAGGUGGGGAUGACGUCAAGUCAUCAUGGCCCUUACGACCAGGGCUACACACGUGCUACAAUGGCGCAUACAAAGAGAAGCGACCUCGCGAGAGCAAGCGGACCUCAUAAAGUGCGUCGUAGUCCGGAUUGGAGUCUGCAACUCGACUCCAUGAAGUCGGAAUCGCUAGUAAUCGUGGAUCAGAAUGCCACGGUGAAUACGUUCCCGGGCCUUGUA